GGGCCUAUAGCUCUCAGAGGAUUAGAGCACGUGGCUACGAACCACGGUGUCGGGGGUUCGAAUCCCUCCUCACCCA
This 76-nucleotide transfer RNA is filed under the name Spinacia oleracea (spinach). It matches the Rfam family "tRNA". Rfam says of the family: Transfer RNA (tRNA) molecules are approximately 80 nucleotides in length. Their secondary structure includes four short double-helical elements and three loops (D, anti-codon, and T loops). Lineage: Eukaryota; Viridiplantae; Streptophyta; Magnoliopsida; Caryophyllales; Amaranthaceae. The record is from Rfam by way of RNAcentral.